AGCUAGUUGGUAGGGUAAUGGCCUACCGAGGCGACGACGGGUAGGGGGCCUGAGAGGGUGACCCCCCACAAUGGAACUGAAACACGGUCCGUACACCUACGGGUGGCAGCAGUAGGGAAUAUUGCACAAUCGACGAAAGUCGGAUGCAGCAACGCCGCGUGUGCGAUGAAGGCCUUCGGGUUGUAAAGCACUUUUCUGAGGGAAGAGGAAGGACGGUACCUCAGGAAUAAGUCUCGGCUAACUACGUGCCAGCAGCCGCGGUAACACGUAGGAGGCAAGCGUUAUCCGGAUUUACUGGGCGUAAAGCGCGUGCAGGCGGUUUGGUAAGUUGGAUGUGAAAGCUCCCGGCUCAACUGGGAGAGGUCGUUCAAAGCUACUAAACUAGAGGACGGUAGAGGAAGGUAGAAUUCCCGGUGUAGUGGUGAGAUGCGUAGAUAUCGGGAGGAAUACCAGUGGCGAAGGCGGCCUUCUGGGCCGUUCCUGACGCUAAGACGCGAAAGCAUGGGUAGCGAACGGGAUUAGAAACCCCGGUAGUCCAUGCCGUAAACGAUGCAAACUUGGUGUUGGCGGUUUAAUAGCCGUCAGUGCCGUAGCUACGCGAUAAGUUUGCCGCCUGGGGAUUACGGCCGCAAGGCUAAAACUCAAAGGAAUUGACGGGUUCCCGCACAAGCAGCGGAGCGUGUGGUUUAAUUCGAUUCUACGCGAAGAACCUUACCUGGGCUUGACAUAUAGGUGGUAGGAAACCGAAAGGGGACCGACCCCUCGGGGAGCCUAUACAGGUGCUGCAUGGCUGUCGUCAGCUCGUGUCGUGAGAUGUCCGGUUAAGUCCGGUAACGAGCGCAACCCUUGCCGUAUGUUAUACGUGUCAUACGGGACUGCCGGUAUAAAGCCGGGGGAAGGCGGGGAUGACGUCAAGUCAGCAUGGCCUUUAUGUCCAGGGCUACACACACGCUACAAUGGUCGGUACAAUGGGUCGCAAAACCGCGAGGUGGAGCCAAUCCUCAAAACCGAUCUCAGUUCGGAUUGCAGGCUGCAACUCGCCUGCAUGAAGUCGGAGUUGCUAGUAAACGCGCGUCAGCAACAGUGCGUUGAAUACGUUCCCGGGAAUUGUACACACCGCCCGUCACGUCAUGGAGGCUGGCAACACCUGAAGUCGGUAUCCUAACCCUAACGGGAGGGAACUGCCAAAGGUGGGGCUGGUAACUGGGACGAAGUCGUAACAAGGUAGCUGUAGCGGAAGCUGCGGCUGG
RNAcentral lists this ribosomal RNA (1250 nucleotides) under metagenome. Its description in RNAcentral is "bacterial SSU rRNA". It matches the Rfam family "Bacterial small subunit ribosomal RNA", at positions 243 to 1521 of the family's 1533-position model. The record is from RNAcentral.